This is a non-coding RNA of Pelobates cultripes (western spadefoot toad), 10009 nucleotides long. NCBI's taxonomy places the organism in Eukaryota, Metazoa, Chordata, Amphibia, Anura, Pelobatidae. The record is from the annotation of a GenBank genome assembly.
GGUACAUCCAGAGUCAUGGCAAUGAACUUAUUGUGGCAUCAGUAUCUCGGAGGAACCAUGAGCGAGUUUCCAAUCAGUGCCAACGACCCCCUGUUCAUCUUCCAACUUAGUUGGAUGGACAAGUAUGUACUAAAUAUGGGAGAAUAAAUGGUAAAAUCUGGUGAAAGUCAAGUGAUUUUUAAAACAAAAAUGUUUAGAGGUCUAGUCACACUCUUUGAUUUCAGGUAGUAAAAUGUUAUGAAAACCUGGUAUCCAAUGAGUCAAUCGGUAAGGUUUGUAUCAUCAUGUGGAAUUAUACCAGAAAUCCAGGGCCAUCUUGAAUAUUGACCUACCCUGGGCAACCAUUUGCUUGGGCCCCCUGCCCGACAUGCUAACACACACACACACACACACUGACAGACAUACUGACACACAUGCAGACAUAUGCACCACAACCCCCGGCACAGCUAACACUGAGGCACUGGUAGUCACCUACACCUGUCCCUAUGCCCCAGCACCUGUCCCUAUGCCCCAGCCCCUUAAAGUCAGCCCCCGGGUCAGUUCCCCUAUGCUAGUGCCUCGUUACCACCCCUGUAAGUAGACCACCCGUGCUACCCUCCCAAACGAGGUCCCCAGUACUGCCCAGCAUACCCCAGCACCCCUCCCCUGGGGAGGGAGUUUGGGAGGUAGGUAGCGUCCAGCCGGACCCUCCAGGCAUGUAGAGACAGGGCAGACACGGGUUGGGUAGGGAAGGAGGGGGAGCGGUACAUCUGAGGGCAGGGGCUACAAUACCGCAGAACAAGAAGUCAGGUACAACUCCUAUUACCACCAGGCAGUUGGUGGAACCCAGGAAAUAUCAACAUGAGCUGCUGAAGAUAAGUUUUUUUAUGGCCAGGCAUCUCUAAGGAUCUGAGGCAGUAUUGCUAGACCGGUGAUGUCUGCACACGAGUGAGGAAGCAGGGCGACUGGCGCAAGGCCAAGCUCCAUUACCUCCCCAUCAUUGAAGACCCAUUCGGCAGAGUAGCUGUUUAUAUCAUAGGCCCCUUGGCUAAGCCUAGGCCCUCUGGGAAAACCCCCCAAAUAUUCUGACCAUUGUGGACUAUGCGACUCGGUACCCUGAGGCAGUCGCCCUGACCAACAUUCAGGCUGAGACUGUAGCCCCAAGCCCUGAUGCAAGUGUUCUCCCGCAUGGGUUUUCCCCGGGUGAUCAUUUUGGAUUGGGCUCCCAGAUUACUGCCAAAAGGACCAUCCAACUGUGGAGGUUAUGAGACAUUAAACCAAUCCUGAGCUCCCCUUACUACCCUCAGACCAAUGGUCUGUGCGAGCGCUUCAAUGGCACAGUCGAGCCAUUCGAGCUGAUCUUCAGGCAGAGAGUGAGGGGCCCCCUAGACCUUGUCCGAGAGCACUGGGAGGGGGCUGUAGCAGCCAUAAGUGCUCCAGCUUUGGAAGAUUUUGAUAAUCUUCCCCUGCCUGAUCUCCUGGAGGAGGGGACUCCGGCAUGGUCCAUAGACGAGGUCCACUUAGGAGGAUUGGCUAAACGAAGGAGAAUGCCGACAGGCACAGGAAAUGCCAGGUAUAUACCGCACUAGCCACCCAUGGGGAAUGGGACUACCAGGUUCUGUGUGGACUACAGGAGGCUCAACAACAAGACGGUCUCAGAAGCGUACCCCAUACCACGUAUAGAUGAGCUGCUAGAUAGGAUGGCUUGUGGGCCGAUACCUCACCACUAUAGACUUGUGCAAGGGAUACUGGCAGAUUCCCCAAAGGUGAUGCCAUUUGGGUUGAAGAAUGCCCCAGCCACUUUCCAGAGGAUGGUGGACCAGCUGCUCGAUGCCCUCCAUGAGGAUGCCUGUGCAUACCUGGAUGACAUCGCCAUAUACAGAGACACUUGGGAAGAGCAUCUAGUAUACGUGGAAGCUGUACUAGACAGGAUUAGGGAGGCAGGGUUGACCCUAAAACCCAGCAAGUGUCACUUAAGGAUGGCCGAGGUGCAAUACGUAGGAUACCGGAUUGGGUGUGGGUCCCAGAAGCCUUAACCCGACAAGAUAGAGGCAGUAGCUAACUGGCCCCAUCCCCGCACUAAAGGAAGUUACAGGAAGUUUGUCCCCAACUACAGCGCCCUAUCUAAGCCCCUCACCAAUUUUACCAGAAAGACCUUGCCCCGACAGGUAGACUGCAUCCCAGAGUGUGAGUAGGCAUUCCAAGCCCUCAAGAACUCCCUGGUGAAUACCCCUGUCCUGGCUGCUCCUAAUCCCAGAAAACAUUUUCUUGUUCACACAGAUGCCUCCAUGUUUAGGUUAGGAGCGGUAUUUAGCCAGGUCGGCGACAGUGGCAGCGAACACCCAGUGACUUACCUUAGCAGGAAGUUACUCCCCAGGGACGUAAGCUACGUCGCCAUCGUGGAGUGCCUGGCAAACUACAGUCCUACCUUUAUGACAGCAAUUCUCCCUGCUCAUGGAUCACAACCCACUGGUAUGGCUUAAGCGGGUCUUUGGGGACAAUGCCAGGCUGUUGCGAUGGAGCUUGGUGCUACAACCUUAUGACUUAAUCAUCCAUUAUAGACCCAGUAAGCAAAACGGCAAUGCAGAUGGAUUAUCGAGACAGACAGUCCUGGAGAAGUGAUCCGUGAGCACUCUGUUACGGUUGCCUCCAGGCUGGCUGGAAGUUGGACCAUAGAAAGGAUGCUCCUAGCGCUCACCAAAGGACCAUCAGCACCGUAGACACCAUAAGUACUGCAGGCUCAACGAACCACCGCUGCUGGGCUAGGAUCUCCCCGUCUGCUAUCCACCCUGGACCUACGACUAGGCUCCAAGUUCCAGUAGGUGAAUCCCUUCCUUCUGUAGAGCGAAGCAGGAUCAGGAACAAGAGCUCUUACAAGAGCUCAGUAGAUAAGGGAGUAUGAAGAACAUAGCAAUCCCUGUAGUGAUUAUAGCUGUCCCCUACAAACAUGAGUCAAGGCUGCAAGUAAGAGGGUCAAGUCAUUCUGUUUAUUGGCACACAAAGAACCUUCUUUUAUGCAGGUUUCCCUUAGGUAGGACCACCCACAGGGUUUUACACAACAGCCAAUAAUAAACAUACAUUACAGAAACACUCCCAGCAAUUACACACAAAAAUCCUCCCCUCUGCCUGUGAUCUAAUUAUAUUGCACAAUGGGUUAACAUAAUUAAACACAGGCAGUAAAAAUACAGUUUUUAUCCAUACCCUGUAACUUUAAAACCAUACAUCCAAUCUUCAUACAUAUUUAGAAUCAAUCCAUUCAGGGGAGUAACAUAUAAAAAAAUGGCACACAUCAGACAAGGGGUUCAAAAGUUAGCAAAAGUAUCUUUUGGGGCCUGGCUGGCAGUAUGGUUAUCUGGCCCAAACCGGUUUUACAGAGCCCUCUAACCUGGAGACAAUGGGGAAAAUAAUCCAGUUAUAUCCAGGGAUAGAGGCAGACUCCAUUAACCACAUGUUAGCAAAAGACACAAAAAGACACAAAAAUACAUAACUCCUAUCGAACUGAACAGAACCCCCACAUUCAACCUAUCCCCAGAUGGCUUGGAUCUGAGCGCUCAAUAUAUCCAAACAGCGCUCAGAUCCCGAAAUACAGUCAAAUCGCCAUACACACUAGGUCCAUAGUCAUGGGGCAGAAGGCUGGCAAUUAGGCUUCUCCAUAACACAGGGAAGCAGGGCAGUUUGUCAAAUAAAAUAACAGUUACAAAUGGCAGUCUGUAACACACUGCCCCGGACAUCCACGAGCCGAUCCAUUGGGAUCAGACUAUGUGUGCCAGCUUGUGGUUAAGGGGGAGCUGUGUGACAGGAUCGCUGCUUGUUUGUGAAUUGCUGUGUGUUUCCCGUUAUUUUCAUAGGAAUGUGCCUGCUCCGCGUUCGGGAGGUUCUACAGGAAGGGAAUGCAUUCACCUCCUGAACAGGGACCAUCCCAACAACCCAUUUAGAGUGUUGUGUCAUGCUUCUGAUAAGAUAUGAGACUGAAACUAGGGUUAACUUCAGGGUAUUUAUUUUUUUGUGAUCUUUAGACAUUAUUUGUCUUAAAAAUAAUACGAGUUUUAGGACAAAAAGGAAGUGAAGUUAUAAAAACAAAGUGGGAAUGAAAAUUACAGGAGAGUAUUUUGUGUACUAAGAAAUAUAGAUUUAGGCAAUAAGCCCACAGGGUUAACAGGAGAUAGUUAGAAGCAGAACCUAUAAGAUUUUGAGGUAGUAGUAUGAAUGAGAACCUAUAUAGGAAGUUGUAGGUAAUACUAAGAAUGAGAUCCUAUAAAAGGAAGUUAUAGGUAAGGUAACAGGAGACUACAGAAAUAUAAAGUUUAGACAAUAUGCCCAAGUCAGGAUUUUAGUAACAGGAUAACAUAGAAUACAUAUUAGAGAUAAAUAAUGAAAACCUAUAACUGAAAAUCAUAGGUUACAGGUAAAACAAAAUACGACAAAACUAAACAGGACUAUAAAAUGAUAUAGUAAUACAGAUGUCAGACAUUUAGGUAAUAAGCUUCUUUUGGGUUGCAGGUUGUAUAGCACUUUUUUGGAUAAAUGAAUUAAAGUCUUUUAGGAUAAUUGUAAUUGUCUAGCAGGGUGUGGACUCUUAUAGCAGGUUGAACUGAUAUGAGAGGCAGGUGAGAGAAAGUUUGUUCAGGCUAGUGGAGAAAACUGGAACAUUUUUUAAAGAAACAAAUAAAAGAAACAACAUUCUUGGUUGUCCAGAUAGUAACCCUGACAGUUGGUUUAGAACGUUUGCACCUCGAAGUGUCAAAACCACAAACCGCAAAGGAAGCCUUGGCGCAUGCCUCCCACGGGUCCUGGCCCGUUCCUUAUACGAGAGCCAUCCAGGGAGAUCAUUCGCAGAUUGCUUCUCAGCUCGUUCAGUUUGUAUAGACGGGCGGCGGCCAGGGGGAGCAUUCGUGUCCCGAAAGGAGACGCUUCCCUUGAUUCGUUUUACCCAGGCACCCCACGAACGAAGGCUGUUCAUGGCAGUUACCAUUCUGGGGGGUCCCUCAGGGUGGGGUCACUCUUUGGGGACAAUGGCGGUUGUAACGGAUCGCCUGGCACCCCGACUGGGUACCUCCGUUGAAGGAUGCUCCUAGCACUUCCUGAGGACUCCAAGCACUCUGGCAGACACCACAAUCACCGAACCGGAGAAGCGUAUACCGGAGAAGCGUAGACAGUUGAAUAGGAACCAUACGAAUAGGUUUACUCUCCUAGCAGUCAAACUGGAACAGCAUACAAUAAAUCCUUCCCCCAAUAAUGAGACGACACUUCACUUUGAGGGUUAAAACAGGAACUCCUGUGCUGGCACACCCAGCCUGGUUUUUAUUACAGCCUUUCACAUACAGGACCGCCCACAGGGAGGUAUAAAACAACCAAUCACAUAUCAGUUACAUCCCACAUAUUCCCUCCCCUUAUCCUGAGAGGAAACUCAAUUACACAUACAGUUAAAACAUACUUUCUACCCAACUUUCAUAACUUUAAAACCAUACAUCACAUUCACAUAAAAUUACAUAUUCACAAUCAAUCCAUUCAGGGGAACAACAUAUUAAAAAAUGGCAUGAAUCUGACCAGGGGUUCAAAAGUUAGUAAAAGUAUCUUUUGGGCCCUGGCUGGCACAUGGAUAUCUGGCUCAAACAGGUUUUACAGAGUCUGGAGACAAUGGGGAAAGUAAUCCAAUUAUCCAAGGAUAGAGGCAGACUUCAUUGAGCACAUGGUUGCAAAAAGACAUAAAACACUUUAAAAUACAUAAAGUCACCUUUUACACAUAACACACCGACAUUUCACAUAUCCCCAGAUAGCUGGGAUCUGAGCGCACAAAACUACCGAGGAGCGCUCAGAUCCUAUUCACACAGUUCAAUUGCCAUGGAGCCAAAGUCUUUAACUACACAAAUGGGCUCCAUGGCAUAGCUAUCUCGGUUAACACAUUCACAUAAAGUCUAGUCCAUAGUCCAAAGGCAAGAGGCGGGCAAGCAGCCCCCUCCAAGGACACGUGGCGAGGCUGGUUUCGCCACAGCGGUUUGGCUGGAUUUCUGUAACUGGGAGGCCAGGAGGUGGGACGCUUUCCCGCGCUGAGACUCCCAGGUUCAGAUGAUUAUGGGAUGAAGACCCCCUGGUCACCAGAGGUGGGAAAACCUGAGGAUAGGUGGCGAGAACAGGGGACAAAGGGACUGGAGUUGUGUUUCUGUCAGGAGACCCCUGGGAGGGGGAGGGCCCUGGGAGGGUGUGAUCCACCCUUUGUGUGUGAUUCACCCCUUGCAUGGUGAAGAGUAUAAAGCCAAAUGUGGCCAAUAAAGUUGUUGUUGUACCCCCCUGGUUACUGGGUGGGAAAUGGGUCUUUCUAUAUUUUAACUGACCCUUUCUAAGGAAGGACGUGGCUGAGCAGGGGCAACCAGCCAUGUUUCUAGUAGGACCGCUACAACACUGACAGACAUACUGACAUAAAUUUACACUUUUAAACUGACCUUUCAGUUUCCUACCUUGGAGGGUGGUGUUAUGGUUGUCUCAGGCAGUGCAUCACAUACACACAAUUAAUAUAAUACAUACCAGGGUCGCAGGGGUCGCCCCUGCGACCCGGUAUGUACCAACAGUGCCAGCCUCUUCCCCUGGGGGGCCCCAGGAGCCAGCUACCUCAGGGCCACCCCUGAGGCUGGCUGUCUGGGUGGCCGGUGCUCAAGGGAGCACUCUCCCCUCUGUGCUUCCUCUUCAGCUCCCUCGCGCACUGAACGGAUACCGGAGCCGGAAAAUGACGUCAUCUUCCGGCGCCGGCAACCCUAUGCGGCGCCCGAGAGAGCCGAAGACAAAGCACUCAGGGGAGAGUUCUCCCUUGUGCACCGGCCACCCAGACAGCCAGCCCGCCCAGCAGCACCACUUGACCCCAGGGAAUCCCCUCAGCUCUCCAAAAGGUAAGGAGGCUGAGGGGAUUAAAUUUAAAAAAAAAAAUGUGUGUGUGUUAGUGUGUGUGUAUGUUAGUGUGUUAGUGUGUAUCAGUGAGUGUGUCUGUUAUUGGGUGUGUGUCUGCUAGUGAGUGUGUUACUGUGUGUGUCUGUUACUGAGUGUGUUUGAUGUCUGUUAGUGAGUGUUUGUCAGUGAAAGUGUAUGUUUUGUAAGUGAGUAUGUAUGUCUGUCACUGAGUGUGUCUCUGUCAGUAAAUGUGUGUGUCUGUUAGCUAGUGUGUAUGCGUCUGUUCGUGAGAGUAUGUGUGUGUGUCUUCAGCAUUUACCUUUCCAUCCGCCUCUCAGCUCCGAAUGCACAUGCGCGGCAAGAGGAGAAUCGUGGAAGCUCCUCUAGCGGCUGUCAAUGAGACAGCCACCAGAGGCUGGAUUAACCCUCAGUGAAACAUAGCCAUUUCAGCUGCAGGGUUAAAACCAGAGGCACCUGGCACCAAGACCACUUCAUUGAGCUGAUGUGAUCUGGGUGUCUGUAGUGGUCCUUUAAGUGUGUGUGCAUACCGCGGUCGCGGUGUCGCAGCCCUGCAACCCCUGCGACCAGGUGCCAGCCGCCAUGUGUUGCAGCCCCGACCCGCGCCGAGUAAGGGGGAGGGCCCACGGAUCAAUUUUCGCACCGGGGCCCCAUGGGUCAUGUGUACGCCACUGGUCUCAGGAUAGCUGAGAGUUGGACCGUUUGGAUGGAGUUGUCCAAGAUCAUUGAGAGCAGUAGAAAGCUCCAAUUGAGCUCCUAGCCAUCUUCCUGCAAAUGUAGAGUAUCCCUGGCGUUCUUAGCAGAGCUAGUGAUCAACAUUUCCCUACAACACGAGUCGAGGCUGCGAGUUGAGGGUAAGAAGACUGGUUUAUUGAACGGAAAGGCAUUGCUUAUAUACACAUUUUUAGGCCAGAGGUACACCCUCUGGACCUGAUGGUACACCGUGUUACAAGGGACAAUAACCAAUUAGGACAAAGUGCAUCUUUUCAAACCCUCCUUUCUAUCCUGGAGAUAAUUAGCUUAAAUGGUUACAGUAACUUAAUUAUUUCCAGGUACAGGCAAUAUUCUGGUUUUGCAAUUACACUAAAAACCACAUAAAAAUCUAUAACUCAUACAAUAUAUUAUUUAACUUAUACAUUCCACAAAUCCCCAGACAGCUUGCAUCUGAGUGCACAAGAUAUCCGAAAAGCACUCAGAUCUCACGAAUAGGAUAGGAAUGCCAUGGGGAUAAAGUUUGUCUCUAGGGUGGUUCAGUAAAAGCCAACAAUGUUCAGAUAUAGGGUCGGUCUAGCCUCCAGAGUCUCAAAGUACCGAACGGCACAGUGUUCAUUAAUUUAAAUAUGAACAGACAAGGUUUUGGCGAUCCCAGCAGGUUCGUGAUCGAUAGUGUCCGAGAAUGGUACCAGAAGGUUGAUGACUGAGUCCUGCUGGGCUUUCGGCAGUUAAAGAUGGCCACCGCCACGUGUUCGUGCAUACAAACGACAAACACCCUGCCGAUCGAUAAUUCAGCUGCGGUUAACCACAAACCUCAGAUUCUGGGCUGUUAAUAAGGGGCACACUCCUCAGGCAGGGUGGUCAGUCGUUCGGUAAUAGGUUCAGUAGUUUGUUCGGUAAUUUAGAGGUGAACGGGGUUAACAAGGUAAAACCGCAGAUUCUGGGCAGUUACUAGGCGGCACACUCCAUAUGCUGGGUGGUCGGUCAUUUGUACAUACGAAUGACCUGGGGACGGUUUUCGUGGGUUUUAUUAUAGCAAUAUAAACAGCAAAAUGUAGAAAACGUGGCAGACAGAGGGUAAUUUGUAACAGGUGGUUUCCCCAUUGUCCAUUCUGGAGGCUGAAACUGUUGGGGUCUGCCUCUACAGGCCCAGGCCCCCCUCCUGUGCAGCUCCUUUCCUUAGUGGGAGGCAGUGACUCACGGGUGGCACUUCCACUCGGCGCUGACGAAAAUCAAGGGGCCACAACAUGUGCCAGACCCCUGCUUUAGGGUGUCUUAACAUACAGCUGCACUAUAAUGCCAAAAACCUGACCUGUAGAUUAUUUACUAGCAUUUAGGUUACAUGUUGGCUCUUAGUGUGUAUAUUACAAGCAGCUUCCUUGCAUGGUUAGCCACAUAGUUCCUAGGAUGCAGAUUUCCUGUUAUUUACUAACAUGUAAAAACUUUUCUAGUGUGUAGAUUACAUGUUCCAUCUGAAAUCUGUAUAUUUUUGUUUUGUCUUUGUGUGUAUCUUGUCUGUUCCCAGGUCCCUGUGUAUGUCUGGUAUUUACAGUUGCUCUAAGAGAAUCCCUGUUCAUUAUUGUGUCUCUCCACAGACUACUUGAUCUUUGGAUUAAUUUAUACAAUGCUACGUCUGCAACCUACCCAGCCAAUGCGCUCAUCGGACACGCACCGGACGAUUGUAUGCCUCCCUUCCUGCCAUGUAGCAGACACAGAGACCAACUGAAUCCUAGUUUAAGUGCUUUUGGGGUCGGUUAUUCUCUGUUCAAUAAUUUAUAAGGAGUAAAAUACAGACCACCAACCAGAACAAAAAAUUUAAUCUGAUUCAAGCAAACAUAACCAAAUUAUAUUUAGGGUUUAAUAAAUAAAGAUGGGAUAAAAUGAUUUGUAUACAAGGUCAUCAGGCUAGAAACAACGCAUUAGUUGGAGUUUGAUCAUAUAUUAAUUAGCAGUGUACAACCACUCAACAAUGAUCACAGUUUGUGCAACCAACCAGCAUUGAUCACACAGUUUGUGCAACCAACCAGCAUUGAUCACACAGUUUGUGCAACCAACCAGCAUUGAUCACACAGUUUGUACAGACAAUCACCAAAUUAAACUGCAGUCAAUGGAGAGUAGAUCUUUACUUUUAUUUAGAUGUGGGAUUAAGACACCUAAAUCUCUUUAUUACAUUUCCAAGUCAAUUAUUGUAGUGAGAUGGGAGAUCAAUGGUAGGACUAGGGACAGUUAAAGAGGAACUUUGGACAGCCAGAAUUCGAUUUCAAAUAUCGAUAUAUAAAAGUGGUGAUAUGAUGUUGUCUCAGGAAGUAUUUCUUUCAUUUUGUCUGUUUUUUCAGUUUACAAAAUAAUCAAUAGUUUCUAUUUUUAUUCUUGCCAAAUGGUAAAUUCUUAUGUUUCCAAUAAAACUCUCAUAUGGACC